Non-coding RNA from Oryza sativa Japonica Group (Japanese rice), 1877 nucleotides. Lineage: Eukaryota; Viridiplantae; Streptophyta; Magnoliopsida; Poales; Poaceae. The record is from RefSeq and is a predicted model, not a curated record.
CUCUCUUGCCCUUCCCCUGGCUAGUGAAUUUUUCGCCAUCGAUUUAGGGCUACGAUUUGCUUGUUUUUUUUUUUCCCUGUCAAUUUCUGCCCGUUGCUAAGCUAGCGAGUAGCUCGUAAUCUUUUGGGGUAGUUUUCCCCUGUACUAAGCUAUUUGAAUUAGUGGAAAUUUGUAUGCUUAUCUCCAGAUGCGGCCUAAAUAGUUGUUAUUGUGGCCCGCGGCUAUUGGUGUCCUAAACUUCAUUUUUAAUCUUUUGUGCUGUAUGCUUAACAAAUCUUAGAACUGGACUCAUGUGUUGGAAAUUUGUGGUUUCACUGCCACCACCUGAUGAUAUACACCUCUUUAUCUUAUGGAAAUCGCACUUCUGAGUGAUUAAUUGCAAAUGUUUUGGUGCUGUGUGCACGAGUCAUCAUCAACGGUGCUUUUCUGGCUGCAAUUGCUCUUUUAUGUUUCCAUCUUUUUUCCACUAGGUGAUUUGUGCUUUUUUGGGGAAACAAAUGAGGCAACCCUUGUCUAGUGGGCUGUGAAAGAAUCCCCUUCUUUUAUUAUAACUCUGUAACGUUGUUUCUCCUUUUGAUUUCCUGUUCUGAUUCAUAAAUAACACUUCUGUUCAAUAUGUGUUUGUUUCUAUUAAUUUAUAAUAACACUUCUGUUCAAUAUGUGUUUGUUUCUAUUAAUUUAUGAUUGUAAUGCAUGGUUACUCUAAAGCAGGUCAAUUCUUCUUUAUAUUUAUGCAUGUCAGUCAUUUAGUAUAGGAAGUCUAUAUGUUUUCUUUGCUGGUAAUGGUCCACUAUUUCAGGCUUUAACUGUUCAGAGAGUUUUAAUCUCAUAAGGUGUUCUUACACAGAUAUUGAGAUAAUUGUAAAUACAGUGAAACAUGUAAUGUACUUGUUAGAUCUCUUGUUGUCUUCUAUGUUCAGAGGCAUGCCUCCAAUUAUUGUGGAUGUCAAUCAAACAUUCUCAUGAAGCUGUACCAUUUUCUUCGUCUGUCCUCUUUGAGCAUGAAAUUCAUAGUAAUGUCAUUCCUCUCUCUGAAAAGUUAGAUCGUUGUCUAUGCUAAUCUGAUGAGGAAGAUGCUAAAUACAGUUCUUACUACAUGGAAGCUUGAGUUUGACAGUCUCACUAUUGUCCAUUUGUUAUCUAAUUAAUGUAAUUGCUUCAAAAGAAAAAUGUUGUUUUUGGACUGUGAUAGACAAUAGCUUCUUAUUACAUGUUGUACUAAACAUGUUGCAAUCUAAUUGAGUAAACUUUUUUUGUUGCGAGAAGAUUAAACUUAUUUAUGUUUUGGUUUGAUUCAGGAUGGGAGAACAGUGGUCUUAGUUAAAAAUGCUGCUAACUCCAUCCCAUAUUAAAGCUACUAUAUCCAUAAUAUGGGAUGGAGGUAAUAUCUUUUUAGGCUGAUUUCUGCUUUCUCCACUCAGCUUCCCAAUGUCAUGCUAAUGUCUACUACCUCCGCCCCAAAAAUCACUUUUCUACACAAAUCUAGAUAGUCACUUGUCUAGAUUUGUGUAGAGAAAAUGAUUGGAACAGAGGUAGUAGUUAUCUGUUGCCCUUAUGUGCAUCUUCAUGGUUAGUCUGUAGACCAAUCAACCUCUUCCUUCAUAUUGAGAAUCGAAAACUAAAUAUUUGCGUUGAUUUUAUCUAAAAAGAAUUUGCGGGUGGUGGUCCUAAUUUGCCAGUCAAAACAUUUUGGACAGUUGUAGAAUAUGUAUAAAUUCUUGAAUUUGUUUAAUUAGUGGACCUGAGCCUGUGACUACAUGGAGUGUACCGUUACCGUGUACAUGUCUCAACCUAUUGUUAGCUAAUCUGGUGAUUUUUUUUUUAAAAAAAAAAUUCAAGCAAGGUCCCUAACUUUGCCUUGAAAAAGAAAUUAAUCU